Molecule: ribosomal RNA, 253 nt
Filed under: uncultured bacterium
Lineage: Bacteria
Description: partial 16S ribosomal RNA
Rfam family: Bacterial small subunit ribosomal RNA
Source: RNAcentral
UACGAAGGGGGCUAGCGUUGUUCGGAAUUACUGGGCGUAAAGCGCGCGCAGGCGGUUUUGUAAGUUGGGGGUGAAAUCCCCGGGCUCAACCCGGGAAUGGCCUUCAAGACUGCAAAGCUAGAGGACGAGAGAGGUGAGUGGAAUUCCCAGUGUAGAGGUGAAAUUCGUAGAUAUUGGGAAGAACACCGGUGGCGAAGGCGGCUCACUGGCUCGUUUCUGACGCUGAGGCGCGAAAGCGUGGGGAGCAAACAGG